Molecule: unclassified non-coding RNA, 2159 nt
Filed under: Hevea brasiliensis (rubber tree)
Lineage: Eukaryota; Viridiplantae; Streptophyta; Magnoliopsida; Malpighiales; Euphorbiaceae
Source: RNAcentral
GAGAGAGAGCGGUUGAAGGUAGUUGCCUUAUCUAGACCCUGAGCACAUAAACUCAAAUUUUGAUCCAGCAUAGAAACCCAACAUAGCUUGCCCUCUCUCAUUCCAUGGAAAUUCUCCUGAAAUCAACAUUCCCUAUAUUCUCCAAGCACCCAAAUAUCCCAGCAACCAAACCCACCAAACCCUUAAAGGUUUCGAUAAAACCUCCACCGCCAGACUUUGAUUUCAGGUCCGAGAUAUUGCAAGAAUCCAGAGCCACAAUUGCCAAAUCCCAUCCACAACUGCGAGAUUUGGCUGAUACAGGUAGCUUAGUACUGAUUGAGAAGCGACUUUUUGGUCCAGUACCGGCCUGGAGGACCGAGUUUGUUGAACCGGAGGCUAUCUGGUUGGUUGGAACCACUCAUAUUUCCAGUGGAUCUGCCGCAGAGGUGGAGCGUGUAGUGCAGGCUGUGAAGCCUGACAAUGUGGUAGUUGAGCUCUGUAGAAGCAGGCAAGUUUACUUUUAUUUAUAGUUUUCUAGUUAGUUUAUUUAUGGAAUCAAAGUCAUGUAUGGUGGUUGAAUUUUUUUUUUUCUGAAUAUUCAAAAUCAAAUUGAUAAACUCAACUCUGAAAUCUUAUUUUGUAUGGUUGAAUAUUUGAUGGCUAUCCAAAAAGCCACGCAUCUUAAAUUCACUUGUUGCAGAGCCCAUUUGCAGAGCUGGGAUUAUGUACACUGGUAAUGAAGGUGAGAUUGGCAAACAAUUAAAGUCAAAUAUGUUCUCAUUGAGCGGGACUGGCUUUUUUGGUGCUGUGGGUCGUAGCAUAAACUUGGGGGGUCAAACAGCUCUAGCCUUGCGUCUGCUUUUAGCACUAUUCUCCUCAAAAUUAUCUUCUGAUGUCAACCGCUCAUUUGGAGACGAGUUUCGUGCUGCUCGAAAAGCUUCUGAAGAAGUUGGUGCUCAGAUAGUUUUGGGGGAUCGGCCAAUUGAAAUAACGCUUGAAAGGGCGUGGAAGGCUCUGAAAUGGAAUGAGAAGCUUAAUUUUGUAAUAGCAGUUGUUCGUGGAAUUAUCUCAUCAUCUGAUACAUCAAGGAACAAUUUAAAGGUUUUUCUCUUACCAAUAUUUCGUGUAUCAAUUAUAUUCUCCAUAUAUAUUUGCUGAAAAUUUCAGUUCAGAUUCUGUCAGCAAGAUAAACUUGAGCAAAAUUGCAGGCAUCAAAUACAAAAGAUGGGACCUUUCAGCUAUAUGAGCAACUAAGUUUCGCAUAUCCAUCACUCUUGCAGCCUCUUAUACAUGAACGAGACACUUACCUGGCAUGGUCUCUGAAACGGAGCAAAGCCGUGAACAAGAGCAAGAGAGUGGUGGGGGUGAUUGGAAACGGGCAUAUGAAUGGGAUAAUAUAUGCACUAGUGUCUGAUCAGGGAAACUUGCGCUUUCGAGACCUCGUCGGGAAGAGGACUUCCGCUGACGGGUCUAAUGGAUUUGUGGAUAGUCUUGUUAGGAGCUUGGUAAGAGACACAGUGAUCGGUGUCCUGCUUUGGCAAUUGUAUGAGAAGCUUGCAGCCUCUUCUGCCCUUCAAGGGAGGGGAGAUCUCCUCCUUCCUAACCCAAUAGUGAGUUUCUUCUCUCUCCUUAUUGGGUGGAUUUUGUAAAUGAUUUUUGAUUUGUUUUGUAAGUCCAGUGCUUCAUUGGAGAGGGUUUUCGUCUGACCUGAGUAGCCUUUCAUCGUAGUUGCAUGUGUGUUUAUGGAUGAGUAGGUUUGAAUCUUGGCUAUUUAUAGGUGUUUGAGCGCAUGUGAUGAUAUUGGAAGCCUCUAAAUUGGCAUGUGCUCGUCUAUUUUACCGUGGCAUGGGAUUCAGUUUUUGUCUAGUGGUGUUUUGCUUACGGAGUGCGAUCUAAAAGAUCGGCUUGAAAGGUGAAAUUGGAAUGUCGAAGAGCCUCAUCGACGAUGUCUUCUGCUUGUUUAGGUGUUGAUUCGAAGCUUAUAUGGCUCUCCAAAGAUGUCCAACAACUUAACCUUUGUGAUUUUGUCACCAAGAUGUUUUCUUCUCCUAUUCCACAUAUUUGUUUGUGCAUGCAAUAUGUGGUGUUUUUUUAAUCUUCUUGGUGCUUCUUCCUCAAGGGAUAAUGGUGUGCGGCGAUGAUGCUACCUGUCGGCGGUGUUAAUAACUCUUACUUCCUAG